Molecule: unclassified non-coding RNA, 387 nt
Filed under: soil metagenome
Description: partial contains 5.8S ribosomal RNA, internal transcribed spacer 2, and large subunit ribosomal RNA
Rfam family: 5.8S ribosomal RNA (bases 1-120)
Source: RNAcentral
GAUGAAGAACGUAGCGAAAUGCGAUAAGUAAUGUGAAUUGCAGAAUUCAGUGAAUCAUCGAAUCUUUGAACGCACAUUGCGCCCAUUAGUAUUCUAGUGGGCAUGCCUGUUCGAGCGUCAUUAAUUCCACUUAAGCCCUGCUUAGUGUUGGGAAUCUACUCUAGUGGUGCUACCCUGGAGCUACCCCUGAAAGGGGGCUGGCCCGGUAGCUACCCUGUAGUUCCUCAAAGAUAGUGCGCGGAGUUGCGUGGUCCUCUGAGCUUAGUAACUAUACACCUAGCUUUUGAGUGUCCCCCGGCGCCUGCCGUUUAAACCCCAUCUUUUAAUGGUUGACCUCGGAUCAGGUAGGAAUACCCGCUGAACUUAAGCAUAUCAAUAAGCGGAGGA